This 883-nucleotide ribosomal RNA is filed under the name uncultured bacterium. Its description in RNAcentral is "bacterial SSU rRNA". It matches the Rfam family "Bacterial small subunit ribosomal RNA", at positions 1 to 883 of the family's 1533-position model. The record is from RNAcentral.
GGAUCCAGACUUUGAUUAUGGCUCAGGAUGAACGCUGGCGGCGUGCUUAACACAUGCAAGUCGAACGAAGCACUUUAUUUGAUUUCCUUCGGGACUGAUUAUUUUGUGACUGAGUGGCGGACGGGUGAGUAACGCGUGGGUAACCUGCCUUGUACAGGGGGAUAACAGUUGGAAACGGCUGCUAAUACCGCAUAAGCGCACAGCAUCGCAUGAUGCAGUGUGAAAAACUCCGGUGGUAUAAGAUGGACCCGCGUUGGAUUAGCUAGUUGGUGAGGUAACGGCCCACCAAGGCGACGAUCCAUAGCCGACCUGAGAGGGUGACCGGCCACAUUGGGACUGAGACACGGCCCAAACUCCUACGGGAGGCAGCAGUGGGGAAUAUUGCACAAUGGGCGAAAGCCUGAUGCAGCGACGCCGCGUGAGCGAAGAAGUAUUUCGGUAUGUAAAGCUCUAUCAGCAGGGAAGAUAAUGACGGUACCUGACUAAGAAGCACCGGCUAAAUACGUGCCAGCAGCCGCGGUAAUACGUAUGGUGCAAGCGUUAUCCGGAUUUACUGGGUGUAAAGGGAGCGCAGGCGGUGCGGCAAGUCUGAUGUGAAAGCCCGGGGCUCAACCCCGGUACUGCAUUGGAAACUGUCGUACUAGAGUGUCGGAGGGGUAAGCGGAAUUCCUAGUGUAGCGGUGAAAUGCGUAGAUAUUAGGAGGAACACCAGUGGCGAAGGCGGCUUACUGGACGAUAACUGACGCUGAGGCUCGAAAGCGUGGGGAGCAAACAGGAUUAGAUACCCUGGUAGUCCACGCUGUAAACGAUGAAUACUAGGUGUUGGGAAGCAUUGCUUCUCGGUGCCGUCGCAAACGCAGUAAGUAUUCCACCUGGGGAGUAA